Long non-coding RNA from Bufo bufo (common toad), 401 nucleotides. RefSeq lists it as uncharacterized. The transcript is spliced from 4 exons. NCBI's taxonomy places the organism in Eukaryota, Metazoa, Chordata, Amphibia, Anura, Bufonidae. The record is from RefSeq and is a predicted model, not a curated record.
CGUCAUACCUACCGGGAAGAAGUCUUCUCUAGCUUCUGCUGGAGGAGGUGGCUCCUAGUGCACAGGACCCGCGGUCCAUAUCUGCUGCAGAAGGUGAUAUCCCUGAUGGAUACAGCCAACAACAAGAUGGAGGAGAGAAUGUUAGAUCUCACCCUAGAGAUAAUCUUCUGGCUCACUGGAGAGGAUUAUACAGUUGUGAAGAAGACUUCCAGUGAGCACUGUCAGACCCCUUUGGUUGAAUCUUGUGGUAGAACCCUACGCCCCAUCGCAGAGCCUCCCCCUCACCCCCUGAUACAUGAGCAGAAGAUCCUAGAACUCACCCACAAGAUGAUGGAGCUGCUGACUGGGGAGGUUCCUAUAAGGUGUCAGGACGUCACUGUCUAUUUCUCCAUGGAGGAGUG